UUCCGAUUGGGCAGGAGGCUUACCCCCGCAGCGGUCUAUUAAGCCUAUUGGUCGAGCCCGCUUUGGGGGCGGGGCUUGCGCGCUCCCCGCCCUCGCCUGCGCCGCGGCGCAAGGGGCGGGGCGCGCCGCCGCCGUCCGUGUUUCCGCCGCCGCCGGCUCCUGCGCGUUGGGCGGGGGAGGAGUCGGAGGCGGAGAAGAAGGCGGCGGCGGCGGCGGGUGGAGGACCGAGCGCCGUCCUCGCUCCGGAGCCGCUUCUCAGCUCGACGCAUAGGCACUGCGUUGAGUCGGCUGCUUCCGGGAAAGUUGUUUUUUUAAAGGCCUAAUAUAAUCUUUUUAAUCAUGACUUGUUUGAACUUCAAACAGCAUGGAAGGACUAAGGUGAAAAGUGCAUCUCCCACUUCCCCUUCUAGUUCUGCCUUCGUUCUGAGAGUCAGCUGUUCAGUAAACUUCCUCUUUAUGUGAUUAUUUCUGGAGCAUGUAUUCCUAGAAAUUGAAUUGCUAGAUUAAAAACAGUAUGCAUUUAAGUUUUGAUAACCUAUUAAAUUUCUCCCUACUUAGUACUCUUUUCCAAGUUAAUCUUAUGCAUUCUACAAAUGAACUUUAGACUCAACUUGCAAAUUAGAUAAAAGAUCCUUUAGGUGUUUUGAGUGAGGUUAUAUUGAAAUUUUAGAUUAAUAUGGAGCAUAUUGUACUUUGUGAUACUGAAUCUCUCCCCUCUGAUAGAUAUGUAUAGCAUGUCUCUUAAUUCACAUCUUGCUUAAGGAAAGUUUUAUAAUUUUAUUCCAUAAAACUCUAUGGCAUUCCAUCUUGGUAGCUCUGGUGGAUAGAAACUUUAAGUAACAUUUAUUUCUCACCCCCCAGUUAUACCAAAGCUUU
This 876-nucleotide long non-coding RNA is filed under the name Bos indicus x Bos taurus (hybrid cattle). RNAcentral describes it as "lncRNA (ENSBIXG00005029833.1)". Lineage: Eukaryota; Metazoa; Chordata; Mammalia; Artiodactyla; Bovidae. The record is from RNAcentral.